GCUGAGCUUAGUAACGUGAGCUUGUGACCCAAGUGGGAGCAUUAAGGUGAUGGAACAAGAUUUCAGCUCUAUGGGUCCGGCCUGUGGUUGGCAACAUGCAAGCUAGCCCUCUCCAAGUUGAGAGUUGGUCCAUGUGGGUUGGGCGAAGGCCUGAUCUUCAUGGGCCUUAGAGUGAAGGAGACCGCGUGAGGCUGGUUUCAUAGAGCAACGAAAAAUUUCUCCCGCUCUUGUCAGUGGAAGGAUUACGAGCGUGCGCCUCCAGGGCCCAUUAGCACUCAGUUGGCUCAUUCUCCAAUGGACCAUCACUUUU
Molecule: signal recognition particle RNA, 310 nt
Filed under: Spinacia oleracea (spinach)
Lineage: Eukaryota; Viridiplantae; Streptophyta; Magnoliopsida; Caryophyllales; Amaranthaceae
Description: Plant signal recognition particle RNA
Rfam family: Plant signal recognition particle RNA
Source: Rfam by way of RNAcentral